This 497-nucleotide ribosomal RNA is filed under the name uncultured bacterium. RNAcentral's name for it is "partial 16S ribosomal RNA". It matches the Rfam family "Bacterial small subunit ribosomal RNA", at positions 28 to 507 of the family's 1533-position model. The record is from RNAcentral.
GAUGAACGCUGGCGGCGUGCCUAAUACAUGCAAGUCGAGCGAACAGACGAGGAGCUUGCUCCUCUGACGUUGGCGGCGGACGGGUGAGUAACACGUGGAUAACCUACCUAUAAGACUGGGAUAACUUCGGGAAACCGGAGCUAAUACCGGAUAAUAUAUUGAACCGCAUGGUUCAAUAGUGAAAGACGGUUUUGCUGUCACUUAUAGAUGGAUCCGCGCCGCAUUAGCUAGUUGGUAAGGUAACGGCUUACCAAGGCGACGAUGCGUAGCCGACCUGAGAGGGGGGUCGGCCACACUGGAACUUAAACACGGGCCCGACUCCUAAGGGAGGCAGCAGUAUGGAAUCUUCCGCAAUGGGGGGAAGCCUGACGGAGCAAACGCGCGGGAGUGAUGGAGGUCUUCCGAUCGGAAAACUCUGUUAUUAGGGAAGAACAAAUGUGUAAGUAACUAUGCACGUCUUGACGGUACCUAAUCAGAAAGCCACGGCUAACUACGUG